GCCCCCGUAGCUCAGGGGACAGAGCAGCGGUUUCCUAAACCGCGUGUCGGAGGUUCGAGUCCUUCCGGGGGCA
Molecule: transfer RNA, 73 nt
Filed under: Candidatus Dormiibacterota bacterium
Lineage: Bacteria; Bacillati; Candidatus Dormiibacterota
Also listed under: 2 other names
Rfam family: tRNA
About the family: Transfer RNA (tRNA) molecules are approximately 80 nucleotides in length. Their secondary structure includes four short double-helical elements and three loops (D, anti-codon, and T loops).
Source: Rfam by way of RNAcentral